UCCCUUUAUUUGGACCCACUGUUAAUCUGUUCAUUUAUACAAUGGGUGUCUUUCCACAAACCAUCGUAAGAAAAUGUGUUACCAAGGCAUUUCCAUUCUUUUCACGAAUCACACACGGAUCAUCGUUAAUAGUCAAAACACACACUGUUCAUCAUUAUAGUCAAAACACACACUUGGAUCAUCAUUAUAGUCAAAACACACACUGUUCAUCAUUAUAGUCAAAACACACAUGGAUCAUCAUUAUAGUCAAAACACACAUGGUUCAUCAUUAUAGUCAAAACACACACUUGGUUCAUCAUUAUAGUCAAAACACACACUUGGAUCAUCGUUAUAGUCAAAACACACACGGAUCAUCAUUAUAGUCAAAACACACACGGUUCAUCAUUAUAGACAAAACACACACUUGGUUCAUCAUUAUAGUCAAAACACACGGUUCAUCAUUAUAGUCAAAACACACACGGUUCAUCAUUAUAGUCAAAACACACACGGUUCAUCAUUAUAGUCAAAACACACACGGUUCAUCAUUAUAGUCAAAACACACAUGGUUCAUCAUUAUAGUCAAAACACACAUGGUUCAUCAUUAUAGUCAAAACACACAUGGUUCAUCAUUAUAGUCAAAACACACAUGGUUCAUCAUUAUAGUCAAAACACACUUUGCUUUUAAACAACAAAUUAUAAAAUCCCAAUGUCGAUGCAUUCAUUGGGACAGUAUCAGAUGAGCAGUAUUGCAUUCUCCAUGUCGGCAGAGAGUAGACAGUAGGCCUUCUCUAGGGCCCUAGACCACAGAGAGUAGACAGUAGGCCUUCUCUAGGGCCCUAGACCACAGAGAGUAGACAGUAGGCCUUCUCCAGGGCCCUAGACCACAGAGAGUAGACAGUAGGCCUUCUCUAGGGCCCUAGACCUCAGAGAGUAGACAGUAGGCCUUCUCUAGGGCCCUAGACCAGAAACAACACAAACAGCCCAGAGACCAUAACUCAUUCAUGCGGUGAUGUCAGUGGGAGACUAAAUGGAAAUGUGACCUAAAUGGAAGUCAGGGUUGAGACCAACCUGCUGACCGCUAUCCAUUCCUUUCAGAAUGACAUGACGUGGUUAGGCCAUGGGUAGAGGGGUUAGGGGCUGUUUCUGGACAGGGCCCCGCCAGGUUCUAGGAGUUCAAAUACUUUAUUUUCCAGGGGUCGGAGGUCAGCCAAGCAGGGAUGUCUGGGUCACUUUGCGCCUUCAGAGAUUACCAAUGUGAUCCUGGUUAAUCCACAUGCUAACUAUCAGCAGGCAGGGCCCCACACUGUUCUCUCUCUCACUCACUCAGCGUAGCCUAGUGGUUAGAGCGUUGGACUAGUAACCGGAAGGUUGCAAGUUCAAACCCCCGAGCCGACAAGGUACAAAUCUGUUGUUCUGCCCCUGAACAGGCAGUUAACCCACUGUUCCUAGGCCAUCAUUGAAAAUAAGAUUUUUUUAUUAACUGACUUGCCUGGUUAAAUAAAGGUAAACAUUUUAAAAAACUCACUCACACACCAAGAGAAAUCUACAGGAUCUGCUCUCUCUCUCUGAAUAGAAUAGAUGAUGUUUACACCACAGUAAACCAUGACGUCUGGUCUGGGCCACCGUGUUGGCAUCACCACCACCAGCAGAUUAAACAGAUCAGUGCCUGUCUUCACCUGUCAAUCACAGACGCAUGGCACCCUAUUCCCUUCAUAGUGCACUACUUUAGACCAGGUCCUUGGCACCCUAUUCCCUACAUAGUGCACUAUGUUAGACCUGGGUCCUGGUCCUGGGUGCCAUUUUGGAUGCACUCUUAGUGACCUUCAGUGCGAGAGCAGUUGAGGUCAGAAUGAAGUUGUUUAGCUUCACGUCCACCACACUAAGGGCUCAGAUUACGCGGUUGCCAGGGGAUUCCAAUAUCACAAGGUAAAAGAACACUACACACUGAUCGACUGAUGCUCCUGUGUGGUUUAUUGAAACAAUGUGAGGACUGGGAACACACUGUAACGAGACUCCCAUUAGUGACCCUCAGAGACAUUUAGAGUUGGGACGUUGACACGACACCACAAUAUUCUAAAGGCAGCCAUGUUGGUUCUCCAUUAACAUUUCACAGGGAAUAUUUAAACACGAUGCUAUAUAACUGGAUGUCUAGAAUUUAGAACAAUAUUCAAAGAGUUCUUUAAAAAAGCUAACUGAGCUUUUCUAAAUAUAUGGCUCUGCUGUCCACUUCAUUCAUCGCCCUUUGACCUCUUCCUACUGCGCAGCACCCUGACUGUGUGAUCUAUCCAGGUCACGGCAGUGGCACCGCUGUCAGAGUACAUUGUGUUCUACCCCAAGCUAGCCUGCGUGCCAAUCUGCUUCGGCUCUUCUGCCCGAAUACUCCUGGUGUUGUCAUGCCAACAAUGACAACGGAGGAGCAGGCCAAAUCUCAACCAGAUCUGGGGACCAGGCUGACGCCAAGCGGAGCUGGAACUCACAACGUUGGACCUAAUGGGCAACAUCACACGUCACUCGUAGUCAGCCGACAACAGUCUUCGCCAACAGAGCAAGAGAUUAGUCUGUCUCUCCAUGACAGAUGGCUUUACAUCUCAGUGAAGGUCACUGAUGAACUCCAGCCAACAUGCUACACCAGUGGUCCCCAAUCCUGGUCUUAGGAACCCAAAGGAGUUUCCCCCCUGAGCACUAAUACACUUCAUUCAACUAAUCAACAAGCUUUUUAUUAUUUCAAUCAGGUGUGAUAGUGCAAAAACAAAAAUGGUUCCCAAGGACCAGGAUUGGGAAACACUGACUACUACACCAUGUUAUGGUGAGCCUUCACCCUGCUGACUACUACACCAUGUUAUAGUUAUGGUGAGCCUUCACUCUGCCGACUACUACACCAUGUUAUGGUGAGCCUUCACUCUGCCGACUACUACACCAUGUUAUGGUGAGCCUUCACUCUGCCGACUACUACACCAUGUUAUGGUGAGCCUUCACUCUGCCGACUACUACACCAUGUUAUGGUGAGCCUUCACUCUGCUACUACUACACCAUGUUAUGAUGAGCCUUCACUCUGCUACUACUACACCAUGUUAUGGUGAGCCUUCACUCUGCUACUACUACACCAUGUUAUGGUGAGCCUUCA
Long non-coding RNA from Oncorhynchus tshawytscha (Chinook salmon), 3103 nucleotides. The record is from Ensembl. NCBI's taxonomy places the organism in Eukaryota, Metazoa, Chordata, Actinopteri, Salmoniformes, Salmonidae.